RNAcentral lists this ribosomal RNA (997 nucleotides) under Lactiplantibacillus plantarum. RNAcentral's name for it is "bacterial SSU rRNA". It matches the Rfam family "Bacterial small subunit ribosomal RNA", at positions 64 to 1046 of the family's 1533-position model. Lineage: Bacteria; Bacillati; Bacillota; Bacilli; Lactobacillales; Lactobacillaceae. The record is from RNAcentral.
GGUGCUUGCAUCAUGAUUUACAUUUGAGUGAGUGGCGAACUGGUGAGUAACACGUGGGAAACCUGCCCAGAAGCGGGGGAUAACACCUGGAAACAGAUGCUAAUACCGCAUAACAACUUGGACCGCAUGGUCCGAGCUUGAAAGAUGGCUUCGGCUAUCACUUUUGGAUGGUCCCGCGGCGUAUUAGCUAGAUGGUGGGGUAACGGCUCACCAUGGCAAUGAUACGUAGCCGACCUGAGAGGGUAAUCGGCCACAUUGGGACUGAGACACGGCCCAAACUCCUACGGGAGGCAGCAGUAGGGAAUCUUCCACAAUGGACGAAAGUCUGAUGGAGCAACGCCGCGUGAGUGAAGAAGGGUUUCGGCUCGUAAAACUCUGUUGUUAAAGAAGAACAUAUCUGAGAGUAACUGUUCAGGUAUUGACGGUAUUUAACCAGAAAGCCACGGCUAACUACGUGCCAGCAGCCGCGGUAAUACGUAGGUGGCAAGCGUUGUCCGGAUUUAUUGGGCGUAAAGCGAGCGCAGGCGGUUUUUUAAGUCUGAUGUGAAAGCCUUCGGCUCAACCGAAGAAGUGCAUCGGAAACUGGGAAACUUGAGUGCAGAAGAGGACAGUGGAACUCCAUGUGUAGCGGUGAAAUGCGUAGAUAUAUGGAAGAACACCAGUGGCGAAGGCGGCUGUCUGGUCUGUAACUGACGCUGAGGCUCGAAAGUAUGGGUAGCAAACAGGAUUAGAUACCCUGGUAGUCCAUACCGUAAACGAUGAAUGCUAAGUGUUGGAGGGUUUCCGCCCUUCAGUGCUGCAGCUAACGCAUUAAGCAUUCCGCCUGGGGAGUACGGCCGCAAGGCUGAAACUCAAAGGAAUUGACGGGGGCCCGCACAAGCGGUGGAGCAUGUGGUUUAAUUCGAAGCUACGCGAAGAACCUUACCAGGUCUUGACAUACUAUGCAAAUCUAAAAGAUUAGACGUUCCCUUCGGGGACAUGGAUACAGGUGGUGCAU